GAUGAACGCUAGCGGCAGGCUUAAUACAUGCAAGGCGAGGGGGCAGCAAUGUCACCGUCGUACGGGUGCGUAACGCGUAUGCAACCUACCUUCAACUGGGGGAUAGCCCGGGGAAACCCGGAUUAAUACCGCAUAAUACAGGGGGCCCACAUGGGUCUAUUUGUUAAAGAUUUAUUGGUUGAAGAUGGGCAUGCGUUCGAUUAGCUAGUUGGUGUAGGUAACGGCUCACCAAGGCGACGAUCGAUAGGGGAGCUGAGAGGUUGAUCCCCCACACGGGCACUGAGAUACGGGCCCGACUCCUACGGGAGGCAGCAGUAGGGAAUAUUGGGCAAUGGAUGCAAGUCUGACCCAGCCAUGCCGCGUGCCGGAUGAAGGCCCUCAGGGUUGUAAACGGCUUUUAUUCGGGAAGAAGAGCAGGGAUGCGUCCUUGUGUGACGGUACCGAAUGAAUAAGCACCGGCUAACUCCGUGC
Molecule: ribosomal RNA, 471 nt
Filed under: uncultured bacterium
Lineage: Bacteria
Description: bacterial SSU rRNA
Rfam family: Bacterial small subunit ribosomal RNA
Source: RNAcentral